CAGAGUAAGAUUUCAAGCGUGUAUUUUUUGCAAUACGAAGUGUCUGCCGAACGGGGAGUUGUCGGCGGAACGAAAGAGUUGAUCUGCGAUUUGAAGUCUGCAUCCCGCUGU
RNAcentral lists this non-coding RNA (111 nucleotides) under bovine gut metagenome. RNAcentral describes it as "THF riboswitch". It matches the Rfam family "THF (Tetrahydrofolate) riboswitch aptamer". Rfam says of the family: THF riboswitch presents a pseudoknot that joins P1-P2 and the loop of P3 and two THF binding. The record is from RNAcentral.